ACUUUAUAUGUUAUUUAAAUUUAAUUAACUUUUAAAAAUUUAAUGUAGUAAAAUAUUUUAUUGGGGCGAUAAAAGUAUAAUUUUUAUUAACUGCUUUAAACAAAAACAAAUAAUAUUUGAAGUAAUAGUAGAUCCUUUAGUAAAGAAUAAAAGACCAAGUU
This 161-nucleotide ribosomal RNA is filed under the name Actumnus uformis. RNAcentral describes it as "partial 16S ribosomal RNA". Lineage: Eukaryota; Metazoa; Arthropoda; Malacostraca; Decapoda; Pilumnidae. The record is from RNAcentral.